Molecule: ribosomal RNA, 300 nt
Filed under: uncultured bacterium
Lineage: Bacteria
Description: bacterial SSU rRNA
Rfam family: Bacterial small subunit ribosomal RNA
Source: RNAcentral
GGAUUAGAUACCCUGGUAGUCCUAGCUGUAAACGAUGGAUACUAGAUGUUGCAUAUUUUAAUAUACGCAGUGUCGUAGCUAACGCGUUAAGUAUCCCGCCUGGGAAGUACGCUCGCAAGGGUGAAACUCAAAGGAAUUGACGGGGGCCCGCACAAGCGGUGGAGUAUGUGGUUUAAUUCGACGCAACGCGCAGAACCUUACCCAGUCUUGACAUCCCUGGACCACUAUGGAGACAUAGCUUUUCGACCUAACGGAAGAAUCAGGUGACAGGUGCUGCAUGGCUGUCGUCAGCUCGUGCCG